This 389-nucleotide ribosomal RNA is filed under the name uncultured bacterium. RNAcentral describes it as "bacterial SSU rRNA". It matches the Rfam family "Bacterial small subunit ribosomal RNA", at positions 29 to 408 of the family's 1533-position model. The record is from RNAcentral.
AAUGAACGCUGGCGGCGCGCCUAAUACAUGCAAGUCGAGCGAGAAGACGUAGCAAUACGUUUGUAAAGCGGCGAACGGGUGAGGAAUACAUGGGUAACCUACCCUAGAGUGGGGAAUAACUAGCCGAAAGGUUAGCUAAUACCGCGUACGCUCCUUGGACUUCGGUUCAGGGAGGAAAGCGAUGCCGAGGGUAUCGCGCUCUUGGAUGGACUCAUGUCCUAUUAGCUUGUUGGUGAGGUAACGGCUCACCAAAGCUUCGACGGGUAGCUGGUCUGAGAGGACGAUCAGCCACACUGGCACUGCGACACGGGCCAGACUCCUACGGGAGGCAGCAGUAAGGAAUAUUGCGCAAUGGGCGAAAGCCUGACGCAGCGACGCCGCGUGGGGGA